UGAUGAACUGUGUCAAACUUACAAUGAGAUUAUCCCACAGUUUUUAAGGGCUGACUGAACACACUGUGCUUGUGCAAAAUAACUAUGAAUACACUGUUCUCCAGGGAGAAAGAAUCUGGAAGGAGCCCAUCACGAAGAUCCUGGAUGAGUGGGCUGCUGUGAGUUUCCAUCACAGAGGAAAAGGGUGAAAUACCGAGCUGUAUCAGGGUCCAAAGUCACAUCAGCUGUGGGAGUAAAACAGGACACAUCAGAAGGACAGAAAUUUAGGAAGAACAGAAAUGUAUUUUCUUUAAAACACUUACAUAGCA
RNAcentral lists this long non-coding RNA (308 nucleotides) under Lepisosteus oculatus (spotted gar). Its description in RNAcentral is "lncRNA (ENSLOCG00000021050.1)". Lineage: Eukaryota; Metazoa; Chordata; Actinopteri; Semionotiformes; Lepisosteidae. The record is from RNAcentral.